RNAcentral lists this ribosomal RNA (465 nucleotides) under Vreelandella stevensii. RNAcentral describes it as "partial 16S ribosomal RNA". It matches the Rfam family "Bacterial small subunit ribosomal RNA", at positions 338 to 795 of the family's 1533-position model. The record is from RNAcentral. Lineage: Bacteria; Pseudomonadati; Pseudomonadota; Gammaproteobacteria; Oceanospirillales; Halomonadaceae.
CCUACGGGAGGCAGCAGUGGGGAAUAUUGGACAAUGGGGGGAACCCUGAUCCAGCCAUGCCGCGUGUGUGAAGAAGGCCCUCGGGUUGUAAAGCACUUUCAGUGAGGAAGAACGCCUGGUGGUUUAUACCCAUCAGGAAAGACAUCACUCACAGAAGAAGCACCGGCUAACUCCGUGCCAGCAGCCGCGGUAAUACGGAGGGUGCGAGCGUUAAUCGGAAUUACUGGGCGUAAAGCGCGCGUAGGUGGCUUGAUAAGCCGGUUGUGAAAGCCCCGGGCUCAACCUGGGAACGGCAUCCGGAACUGUCAAGCUAGAGUGCAGGAGAGGAAGGUAGAAUUCCCGGUGUAGCGGUGAAAUGCGUAGAGAUCGGGAGGAAUACCAGUGGCGAAGGCGGCCUUCUGGACUGACACUGACACUGAGGUGCGAAAGCGUGGGUAGCAAACAGGAUUAGAUACCCCGGUAGUC